This 253-nucleotide ribosomal RNA is filed under the name uncultured bacterium. RNAcentral's name for it is "partial 16S ribosomal RNA". It matches the Rfam family "Bacterial small subunit ribosomal RNA", at positions 524 to 776 of the family's 1533-position model. The record is from RNAcentral.
UACGUAGGGUCCGAGCGUUGUCCGGAAUUAUUGGGCGUAAAGAGCUCGUAGGCGGCUUGUUGCGUCGGCUGUGAAAGUCCAGGGCUCAACCCUGGAAUGCCGGUGGAAACUGUCGAGCUCGAGUCCGGAAGAGGCGAGUGGAAUUCCUGGUGUAGCGGUGAAAUGCGUAGAUAUCAUGAGGAAUACCAGAGGCGAAGGCGGCUACCUGGACAAUUGCUGACGCUCAGGCACGAAAGCGUGGGGAGCAAAAGGG